CCAGGGGAUAGGGUAGCUCCCGACAAGCCCGGUAUCCUGGCCGGGUUUCCCCCGGAGAACCACCAGGG
RNAcentral lists this non-coding RNA (68 nucleotides) under Syntrophobacter fumaroxidans MPOB. Lineage: Bacteria; Pseudomonadati; Thermodesulfobacteriota; Syntrophobacteria; Syntrophobacterales; Syntrophobacteraceae. The record is from RNAcentral.